Molecule: ribosomal RNA, 265 nt
Filed under: uncultured bacterium
Lineage: Bacteria
Description: partial 16S ribosomal RNA
Rfam family: Bacterial small subunit ribosomal RNA
Source: RNAcentral
CUUAGUGGCGGACGGGUGAGUAACGCGUGAGCAACCUGCCUUUCAGAGGGGGAUAACGUUUGGAAACGAACGCUAAUACCGCACGAGACUACAGUACUACAUGGUACAGUGGCCAAAGGAGCAAUCCGCUGAAAGAUGGGCUCGCGUCCGAUUAGAUAGUUGGCGGGGUAACGGCCCACCAAGUCGACGAUGUCUAGGGGUUCUGAGAGGAAGGUCCCCCACACUGGUACUGAGACACGGACCAGACUCCUACGGGAGGCAGCAG